Molecule: ribosomal RNA, 118 nt
Filed under: Gossypium raimondii (Peruvian cotton)
Lineage: Eukaryota; Viridiplantae; Streptophyta; Magnoliopsida; Malvales; Malvaceae
Source: RNAcentral
GGGUGCGAUCGUACCAGCACUAAUGCACCGGAUUCCAUCAGAACUCCGCAGCUAAGCGUUCUUGGACGAGAGUAGUACUACGAUGGGUGACCUCCUGGAAGUCCUCGUGUUGCACCCC